GAAAUAUGAUAAUCAAGAAAAAGCUGCUAACUUCUUUCUUUAGCGGUUUAAUUCCGUUUAUGUUUCU
This 67-nucleotide transfer RNA is filed under the name Rhithrodytes bimaculatus. RNAcentral's name for it is "tRNA-Ser". Lineage: Eukaryota; Metazoa; Arthropoda; Insecta; Coleoptera; Dytiscidae. The record is from RNAcentral.